Molecule: non-coding RNA, 142 nt
Organism: Podarcis lilfordi (Lilford's wall lizard)
Lineage: Eukaryota; Metazoa; Chordata; Lepidosauria; Squamata; Lacertidae
Source: the annotation of a GenBank genome assembly
UGAAGAGCAUCAGCAAAGCCCUCCUGCUCCUCCAGCUUGCGAGGAGACCCUCCCUGGAGCCUGAAGGGGACAUCUUCUACGGGCUCCAGGGAGGGUCUCCUUGCGUGCCGGAGUUGCAGUGGGGUUUUGCUGAGUCUCUUCA